Salvelinus fontinalis (brook trout) is the source of this 7765-nucleotide long non-coding RNA. RefSeq lists it as uncharacterized. The transcript is spliced from 3 exons. The record is from RefSeq and is a predicted model, not a curated record. NCBI's taxonomy places the organism in Eukaryota, Metazoa, Chordata, Actinopteri, Salmoniformes, Salmonidae.
UGUUGUCCUUGGCUCUGAAACUGUUUAAUAUACAACCGUCAUAAGGUUAUACAAUGUACUGUUUUGCAACCAUAAGUUUGUUAUAGUGUGGACAGUGUAGGAAUUUAUGUUAACAAGUUUCACAGAGUUCACUGACUGAGGUAUCUGUUGUAACUUGUGAGUACUUGUGACAGUGGUUGAGUGAGUGUCCAUGUGCUCGCGCAGGUGCCCGAGAGCUGUGACUGCGCCAAGGGUAACAUGUGUGUUGUCUCUUCGUGUGCAGGGCAAAUAAAAAUAUUUCAACGAGCAGACCGUCAGUUGUGGCAGCGUCCUAAUUAAAAUUACACAACGCAGAACGAACCACGCUACAUAUGCAUAGUCACUUUACUCCUACCUAAAAGUACAAAUUACCUCGACUAACCAGUACCCCCGCACAUUGACUCCGUACCGGUACCCCCUCUAUAUAGCCUUGUUACGGUUGCGUAAUUUUAUUGUGUUGCUUUUAAUAACAUUUUUUACUUUAUUUAGUAAAUAUUUUCUUAACUCUAUUUCUUGAACUGCAUUGUUGGUUAAGGACUUGUAAGUAAGAAUUUCAUUUUAUGGUCUACACCUAUUGUAUUCGGCACAUGUGACAAAUAUCAUUUGAUUUGAUUUACAUUUAAGACUUAUCCAAAGCAAUUUAGUGCUUUGUUCAAUGGCACAUCGACAGAUUUUUCACCUACUCUGACUCUGACAACAUUUUGGUUACUGGCAAACCACUUGGCUAACAGCUGCCGUUAGUGCUAAGCGAUUAACCAACAUUUUGUUUUUUUCCCGGUUAUUAAACAACUAAUUGACUGACAUUGGUUCAAUUACUUGAAUUCAAUUUAGUUCAGUUUUUUUGUGAGCCCAGCACACCGUUUUCUCUAGAGAGAAAUCAAGUCAGGAACUACAGUUGAAGUCGGAAGUUUACAUUCACUUAGGUUGGAGUCAUUAAAACUCGUAUUUUCAAACACUCCACAUAUUUCUUGUCAACAAACUAUAGUUUUGGCAAGUCGGUUGGGAGAUCUACUUUGUGCAUGACACGAGUCAUUUUUCCAACAAUUGUUUUUAGACAGAUUAUUUCACUUAUAAUUCACUGUAUCACAAAUCCAGUGGGUCAGAAGUUUACAUACCCUAAGUUGACUGUGCCUUUAAACAGCUUGGAAAAUUCCAGAAAAUUAUGUCAUGGCUUUAGAAGCUAGGCUAAUUGACAUCAUUUGAAGGUACCACGAAGGUACCACGACAUCACCUGAAGAUACCACGUUCAUCUGUACAAACAAUAGUACGCAAGUAUAAACACCAUGGGACCACGCAGCCAUCAUACCGCUCAGGAAGGAGACACGUUCUGUCUCCUAGAGAUGAACGUACUUUGGUGUGAAAAGUGCAAAUCAAUCCCAGAACAACAGCAAAGGCCCAUGUGAAGAUGCUGGAGGAAACAGGUACAAAAGUAUCUAUAUCCACAGUAAAACGAGUCCUAUAUCGACAUAACCUGAAAGGCCGCUCAGCAAGGAAGAAGCCACUGCUCCAAAACUGCCAUAAAAAAAGCCAGACUACGGUUUGCAACUGCACAUGGGGACAGAGAUCGUACUUUUUAGAGAAAUGUCCUCUGGUCUUAUGAAACAAAAAUAGAACUGUUUGGCCAUAAUGACCAUUGUUAUGUUUGGAGGAAAAAGGGGGAGGCUUGCAAGCUGAAGAACACCAUCCCAACCGUGAAGCACGGGGGUGGCAGCAUCAUGUUGUGGGGGUGCUUUGCUGCAGGAGGGACUGGUGCACUUCACAAAAUAGAUGGCAUCACGAGGAAGGGAAAUUAUGUGGAUAUAUUGACGCAACAUCUCAAGACAUCAGUCAGGAAGUUAAAGCUUGGUCGCAAAUGGGUCUUCCAAAUGGACAACGACCCAAGCAUAAUUCCGAAUCUUACAAACCUGACUCAGUUACACCAGCUCUGUCAGGAGCAAAAAAAAUCACCCAACUUAUUUUGGGAAGCUACCCGAAACAUUUGACCCAAGUUAAACAAUUUAAAGGCAAUGCUACCAAAUACUAAUUGAAUGUGUGUAAACUUCUGACCCACUGGGAAUGUGAUGAAAUAAAUUUAAAUCUGAAAUAAAUCCUUCUCUCUACUAUUAUUCUGACAUUUCAUAUUCUUAAAAUAAAGUGGUGAUCCUAAUUGACCUAAAACAGAGAAUUUUUACUAGGAUUAAAUGUCAGGAAUUGUGAAAAACGGAGUUUAAAUGUAUUUGGCUAAGGUGUAUAUAAACUUCCGACUUCAACUGUAUGUGGGACACUGGGCUGAAGGGACUUUUCAUUAAGCAAAUAUUGAACCCAGAUCAGCGCAGAAACUUGGUAAUUAUUUACAAUGACCAUAAUCCAUUGCUCCUGUUUGUUUUUUCAGGCUCAGACACAGAUCUCAGCACAGGAAUGACUGCCGUUGUGGCCAUGAGGCGGGGGUAAGAUAGCGGACAGGGGGGAAAAAAGGAGAAAAGUGGAACACGUUAUAAAUAAAUAUGGAAUGGGGGAAUGCACAAGCCUUCUGGAAGAUCUGAUGAAGGAGAAUAUGGCAAGAAGGGAAAAAAUGUGGAAAGUGUGUUGUGCACAAGAUAGGAUAAAAACGGUGACUAGUUGUCCUCUCCGUAGCAGGGCGCCAUUAAAAGGAAUGAUAACUGGAGUGGUGUUAAGUGUUGAGGAGGGCCAACUGAAAUGGAAGUUUCCCGGUGUCUGUGACAUCCACCGUUUGGUGGAACGCAGACCCGGUAGAGAACGUGGUGAAACAGAGAAGACAAUGUCUAUACUACUGAGUUUUGAUGCAGAGUCUUUAUCAGAUAAAUUCAAGUUAUGAUGAGUCAGUUAUCACGUGAGAGGUUUUGUCCCAAACCCAUUACGAUGUUUUAGGUGUCAAACUUAUGGUCAUGUGGCAGCAGUGUGUAGGAGAGAGAUUUCUAGAUAUGAGAAGUGUGCAGGAGGACGAGACAAAAGAAUGUGUAGUAUCGGUGGAAAAAGUUGUGUGUGUAAACUGUAAGGGUUUACACACACAGCUGUUUCAUGGUGCUAGAAAUCAGAGGUGUCCGGUGAGAGCAAGGCAGGGUGAGGUUGCCAGUAUCAGUUUAAGGUGUAAUAUUCUGAGGCAUUAAAGAGAGUAGUAGAGGAAGAUGGGUCCAGGGUGAGGGAUUUUAAGAGGAUCCCUGUGAGUAGGCCGAGGCCAAUAGAGAGUGAUAGAAAUAGCUUGUGUUUUUUUGGCAUUCAUGGCCUUGAAUGUCAAUUGUACUGUAGGAAUGGAAGUAAAUCACAGAGGAUAGAUGUUGUGGUGGCAACUGCAUAGACUUUGUUUAUUUAACUAGGUAAGUCAGUUAAGAACAAAUUCUUAUUUACAAUAACAGCCUACCAGGGAACAGUGGGUUAACUGCCUUGUUCAGGGGCAGAAUGACAGAUUUUUACCUUGUCUGCUCAGGGAUACAAUCUAGCAACUUUUCAGUUACUGGCCCAAUGCUCUAACCACUAGGCAACCUGCCACCCCGAAAGUACUUGGGUGUAUGAGAUUUUACUGCAGAAGUUCCCGUCCUCCCAGUGUCCCAUCCUCCCAAGCUGCUGGCCUGGAGUAGAAUCAGACGGGGGGCCAAAGUAGUGGAAUAAUGCUAUUGAACCAAGCAAGCAAUGACAAUAAAAAUUGUAUAUUCUGAAUCAGUAAGCAGAUGCUCCUCCUCUCUCUACGGCUGGCUUCAAUUCCUCUGUUUUCACCUCAGUGUUUAAAAUCCUUCCCUGACCUGGUCUUCUUUGUCUCAGGAUUUCUGGUUACAGUGUUUUCUUAUUUGACUUAUCUGACUGUUUUACCAUUAGCCUUCCUCUGUCAUGUAAUCUACGAUGUGAAACAAAAUACAUUUGCAUUAUACACUGAGUGUAUAAAACAUGAAGAACAACUUCCUAAUAUUGAGUUGCAUAAUUGAUCAUAGCUUUCACCUGGAUUCACCUGAUCAGUCUAUGUCAUGGAAAGAGCAGGUGUUCUUAAUGUUUUGUACACUCAAUGUAUAUUUGCACUUACUUAUAUAUAUUUUGUACAUAGUAUACGCAGACAUUGACAUGUGCAUGUCAAUUUUUGAGAAUGCAUAUUAUGGUAUGAGUAAUGGAAAAGGUAGCAGGGCAAUUCCACAAUAACAUAAUUAGGCUGAGACUGAUUUUCCACUUUAAAAUGUCAAAGUUGAAGAAAACAUACAACUCUACGCACAAGGACUACUAAAAUCUAUACAGAAAUGACCACAAAACACAUUUACUGGAAGAACUGUGGAGAUGCAAAGUUUGGGGAUGAAAUGAUGGUAAAAUCUCCCUCAGUUAUUUAUGCAACCACAUUUUUCAGAAACUGUUAAAUAACUGCUCCAAAUUAAGAUUCAAAGAGGUGUGCAGAAAGAAUGGGGUGUCAUCUAUGACAUGAUACCUUGAGUUUAAAAAAUCUAUUUUGGUUAUUGAACUACAGUAAGUGUAGUGGAUUUACACCUGGUAACAGAAUUACGGUAAUGUAAUUACAUCAAUGGUCCCUGUACUACAAAGAAAUGCAUGAUUAUGGAUAUGAAUGUCAUUCUUUUCACAGUGAUGUAUCUUGAAUAGGUACACAAAGGUAGAAAUAUGCAACAUCAUCCUUUGUAUACAGUGCAUUUGAAUUGUAUUCAGAGCCCUUGACUUCUUCCACAUUUUGUUACGUUACAGCCUUAUUCUAAAAUGUAUUAAAUUCAUUUUUCCCUCAUCAAUCUACACACAAUACCCCAUAAUGACAAAGCGAAAACAGGUUUUUAGAAAUGUUUGCAAAUAUAUUACAAAUUAAAAUCAAAAAUACCUUAUUUACAUAAGUAUUCAGACCCUUUGCUAUGAGACUCGAAAUUGAGCUCGGGUGCAUCCUGUUUCUAUUGAUCAUCCUUGAUUGGACUUGAUUGGAUUCCACCUGUGGUAAAUUCAAUUGAUUGGACAUGAUUUGGAAAGGCACACACCUGUCUAUAUAAGGUCCCACAGUUGACAGAGCAUGUCAGAGCAAAAAUCAAGCUAUGAGGUCGAAGGAAUUGUCCGUAGAGCUCUGAGACAGGAUUGUGUCGAGGCACAGAUCUGGGGAAGGGUACCAAAAAAAAGUCUGCGGCAUUGAAGGUCCACAAGAAUACAGUGGCCUCCAUCAUUCUUAAAUGGAAGAAGUUUGGAACCACCAAGACUCUUGGUAAAUGGGGACCCCAAGAACCCAAUGGUCACUCUGACAGAACCCCAGAGUUCCUCUGGAGAUGGGAGAACCUUCUAGAAGGACAACCCUCUCUGCAGCACUCCAUCGAUCAGGCCUUUAUGGUAGAGUGGCCAGACGGAAGCCACUCCUCAGUAAAAAGCACAUGGCAGCCCGCUUCGAGUUUGCCAAAAACACCUAAAGGACUCCCAGACCAUGAGAAACAACAUUCUCUGGUCUGAUGAAACCAAGAUCGAACUCUUUGGCCUGAAUGCCAAGCGUGAAGGUAACCUGUGACCAUCCCUACGGUGAAGCGUGGUGGUGGCAGCAUCAUGCUGUGGGAUGUUUUCAGCGGCAGAGACGAGAAGACUAGUCAGGAUCAAAGGAAACAGAGGACAGAGAGAACCUUGAUGAAAACCUGCUCCAGAGCGCUCAGGACCUCAAAUUGGGGCGAGGUUCACCUUCUAACAGGACAACGCAUGAGUGGCUUCAGGACAAGUCUCUGAAUGUCCUUGAGGGGCCCAGCCAGAGCCCAGACUUAAACCCGAUCUAACAUCUCUGGAGAGACCUGAAAAUAGCUGUGCAGCGACGCUCCCAAUCCAACCUGACAGAGAUUGAGAGGAUUUGCAGAGAAGAAUGGGAGAAACUCCCCAAAUACAGGUGUGCCAAGCUUAUAGCAUCAAACCCAAGAAGAUUCGAGGCUGUUUGCUGCCAAAGUUGCUUCAACAAGUACUGAGUAAAGGGUUUGAAUACUUGUGUAAAUGUGAUAUUUCAGUUUAAACAUUUUAUGUUUGUGCUUUGUCAUUAUGGGUUGUUGUGUAGAUUGAUAAAGGGGAAAAAACUAUUUAAUCCAUUUUAGAAUACGGCUGUAACAUAACAAAAUGUGGAAAUAGUGAAGGGGUCUGAAUACUUUCCGAAUGCACUGUAUAUGUGUAUUCUACACACUGGCUAUUAUUCAAAUGAACUCUGCCCCCAAACAAGACCAAAUUUGGUUAGUCCGGACCAAAACUGAACCAAUCAUAGAUUGUUUCACAAGUUUUGACAUCACAGUACAGCACAGUCGAGCACAAUAGAGUACAGUACAUCACAGUAGAGUAGAGUUCAGUACAUUAUUGUACAGUACAUAAUAAUUAUUUUUAAAAAUGUAAAUAAUAUUUAACCUUUAUUUAACUAGGCAAGUCAGUUAAGAACAAAUUCAUGUUCUACAAUGACGGCCUUCCCCGGCCAAAACCACCCCUAACGACGCUGGGCCAAUUGUGCGCCGCCCUAUGGGACUCGCAAUCACUGCCGGUUGUGAUACAGCCCGGGAUCGCACUAGGAUCUGUAGUGACUCCUCUGGCACUGAGAUGCAGUGUCUUAGACCGCUGCUCCACUCGGGAGCCCUAAUGUACUCUACUAUACAGUGCUUCAUUGUAUUGUACUGUGCUGUCCAAACUUGUGUAACAUAGACGUCUAUGAUUGGUUCAGAUUUGGUCCGGUCACCUAUCAUGGAAUUCUAUAUUAGUGCCAAAUUAAGGCCGGUCUGGACUGACCCAAAAAACAAUGUCUGUGGAUGUUGAAAUCAGGGCCCGUCCAGACCGGCCUGAAAAACAAAGUCUGUGGAUGUUGAAAUUAAGGCCAGGGCAGACUCACCAAAUUUGGACUACUUUUCAACGUCCAUGGACAUCCGGUGUCAGUCGGUGCUCAGUGGGUGUGGAUGCUGGUUACAGUAAAUGGAAAGACAGGGAGCUCAUGGGUAGGUGUCAGUAAGAGCAGGGAGAGGUAACAUUAACUGGAAAUACGCAGAGGGAGGGAUGGAUUGUCCAGACUGUUUUCACACUCAAUUUGACCACCAGACGACAGAAAGAGAAGGAAAACAGUUAUGAACUGAACAUAACAGUAUGCAAGUGGAAGAGAGGACAGUAGCAGGUGACCCAACUGUGGUUUGUGACUACUAUGAUUUCCCAUUGUUGCCAUUUCAAUUGCAGUAAAUCCGUUAGUGAUUUUUAGGUAAUUCUGUAACUGAUUUGCUAACAGAACUUUGUAAUUCAUAAACCAAAAAUGAUACCAGAAAAAAAAUAUAAUUGGCAGGUCUACCUUUACUUGUUACCUCUGUGAAAUGUCAUUAUCCUCCCUCAUGGGGGAGAGAAAUUCAAAAAUACCUUUAAGAUAUGUGUGUUUUUAGUAACAGAAUUACAAGGCACAAGGCAAUGUUUCUUAAACUUAUAGAAGUCAAAUAAUUUCUCCAAAACUAAGUGUUGAUAUUAGUUGGCAGGGGUCUUUACUUCAGUAUUAUUGUGUUUUGGUGUAUUUCUAAUACCUUUUAAGACUUUUUCUGUAAGGUUUUUCUAAGACCCGUUUUCCUUCUGUUUGACCAGAUGCUUAAUUUUAUACAUGGAACAUUUUUGUGUUUUUUCCCCCAAAACAUAUCAACUCUUAGCUUUCAUUUGACACCCAAUUGGAUAUGCUCCUUUGAACAUCACAUGUUGGUGUUCAGAUGUGUUCAGAUAUGUUUCACCUGGAAAUUACCAGCAUUACUUUGCAUUAUAAAAUUAUUUGUAAAACAACAUUACCAAUCUCAAUAAAAAGAAAAGUGAACCUGUC